Molecule: ribosomal RNA, 539 nt
Filed under: uncultured archaeon
Lineage: Archaea
Description: bacterial SSU rRNA
Rfam family: Archaeal small subunit ribosomal RNA
Source: RNAcentral
GGCGCGAAAACUUUGCAAUACUCGAAAGUGUGACAGGGUCAUCCCGAGUGCCGACCGCUGAGGUUGGCUUUUACCCAGUCUAGAAAGCUGGGGGAAUAAGGAGAGGGCAAGUCUGGUGUCAGCCGCCGCGGUAAUACCAGCUCUCCGAGUGGUGUGGACGUUUAUUGGGCCUAAAGCAUCCGUAGCUGGCUGAACAAGUCCCCUGUUAAACCCACCGAUUUAAUCGUUGGUCUGCGGGGGAUACUGCUCGGCUAGGGGACGAGAGAGGCAGGCGGUAUUCUCGGGGUAGGGGUGAAAUCCUAUAAUCCCGGGAAGACCACCAGUGGCGAAGGCUGCCUGCUAGAGCGCGCCCGACGGUGAGGGAUGAAAGCUGGGGGAGCGAACCGGAUUAGAUACCCGGGUAGUCCCAGCUGUAAACGAUGCAGACUAGGUGUUUGGACGGCCACGUGCCGUUCUAGUGCCGCAGGGAAGCUGUUAAGUCUGCCGCCUGGGGAGUACGAUCGCAAGAUUGAAACUUAAAGGAAUUGGCGGGGGAGCAC